Non-coding RNA from Punica granatum (pomegranate), 1558 nucleotides. The record is from RefSeq and is a predicted model, not a curated record. NCBI's taxonomy places the organism in Eukaryota, Viridiplantae, Streptophyta, Magnoliopsida, Myrtales, Lythraceae.
CCCUGCCAGGAGAUACGAAUUCUUCAUGUUUUUGUCUUUCUGGGGUACUUGAUCGCGAUACCAACUGUUUUAACUUUCUCAAGGAAAGGAAAGGAUUCAGAAUCCCGAGAAAUUCUUUUCACUUGAAUCUGUUGUCCUUAAGCUUUCUCUUGAGGGUCUUGGAGAACCCUUUGAAUAGUUUCGAUGAUUUCAGAGUCGGCCUUCGAUAGUCGCCAUCCCGUGACAGGAUUGGCGAGUGACACAUGGUUAGGACUUCCACUUCAGGGGCUGGGAAGAAUGUAGUUUGGGUUCAAUACGAUCGGCGGGAAUUCAGAAGCUAAAUCAUCUGCCCAUUGAUCGGCCGAAGCCUUUGCUGUAGUCUCAAGCAGAGUCAUUGGCAAGGAAGCUUCAAGGACUGACCUUUUCUUGAAUUGUGAGCAGCAGAAUUCAUUUUUUAUAAGAAAAGUUAUAUACCCGGGCGUUGGUGGAGAAUGUGGGGUUUAUGAUGAAGACGUGACGGGAUUGGUUCUUGAGACCUGUCUAGCUUUCGAGCUGUGGGAGCUGGUCUCAUCUUACUGUUUUCGGUAUUGUUGAGCGCUCAUUUUACCUGAAUUCGGUCUUGAAUCACAUUAACAAGAGGAGGUCCAAGUUGAUUGUUCUCUGUAUUAAACAUGCCUCGGAUUUUGUGUCGAUGGAACUGUGCUGCAGUUUGAAGUGCUUUCUGAGCCCACCUAGAGAUGCACUUGCUACCAUGGGCCGUGCGAGGCAAGUGCGGAAAGACCAGGGAAUACUAUCUAUUAAUUAGGAUCGAGAAAGACACAGAAACUUAGCAAGGAGAAACUUUAAUUCACCUGCUAGUGAUGCAGCAGGCAAUGAUUCCGAGCUCUGUCUGCAUUAUCUGCUUGUAUCUCCUAAUGCCGAUGAAGCGGUCCUAAUGUCUGCUUGUUAUCAGUUAAUUGAAUGGAGAAGAGUCGACGAGCUUGAUUCGGUACUUGGGCAAGUAGUUGAGGAAGUACAAGAAAUUUCCUCAAGCGAUUCCAUGCCCAGGAGUUGCUUCACUGUCAGUGUUGGUUGGCUGCAACUGGGUUUUCCUAAGCUCCAUGAUGUCAUAAGAUGCAUCGGGCUGUUGGCAGAUGAGAACUUCUCCUCUUUGGUUUUGCAGUCGGGGUUCCACAAGGAGCUGGGGUCGACGGAGAGAGUGGUCAGUUCUUUCACUUGCUGAGGGGAGGCUAUGCACUACCAGUCUUCCAUGGCUAAUGUAGUUGAGAGACUUGUGAAUGAAGAUAAGCCCGUGAUUGUGUAGAGGGAAACAAGUAGCGAGGAAUCAGUAGAUGUGGAUCAAUUAUUAUCAGUUCAUCGAAGGAGAGAAAAAAAAAUUGUGCUUUACCAAUUUGCGGAGUAAUUGGUGCGAUAUAAUUUGCUUAAGAAUAGAGUAUUGUAAUCAAUAGAAAUAAGAACAUGCACUGCAGAUCCUACAAAAGAGACCUUAUUCACAAAUCUGAUGAUUCUUCCAGACGGUCACGAUGCCCAGGCCGGUCCAAUUUGAUUUCCAUAAUACAAUAAUAACAUUUCGCUUGCA